RNAcentral lists this ribosomal RNA (253 nucleotides) under uncultured bacterium. RNAcentral's name for it is "partial 16S ribosomal RNA". It matches the Rfam family "Bacterial small subunit ribosomal RNA", at positions 524 to 776 of the family's 1533-position model. The record is from RNAcentral.
UACGUAGGUGGCAAGCGUUGUCCGGAGUUAUUGGGCGUAAAGCGCGCGCAGGCGGUGCGGUAAGUCUCUGGUGGAAGCGCUCGGCUUAACUGGGCGAGGGCCGGGGAGACUGCCACGCUGGAGGGGAGCAGAGGCGAGUGGAAUUCCGGGUGUAGUGGUGAAAUGCGUAGAGAUCCGGAGGAACACCAGUGGCGAAGGCGGCUCGCUGGGCUCUACCUGACGCUGAGGCGCGAAAGCGUGGGGAGCGAACCGG